CAGUAGCCGCGGGAAAACGAAGGGGGCUAGCGUUGUUCGGAAUUACUGGGCGUAAAGCGCACGUAGGCGGAUAUUUAAGUCAGGGGUGAAAUCCCAGAGCUCAACUCUGGAACUGCCUUUGAUACUGGGCAUCUUGAGUAUGGAAGAGGUGAGUGGAAUUCCGAGCGUAGAGGUGAAAUUCGUAGAUAUUCGGAGGAACACCAGUGGCAAAGGCGGCUCACUGGUCCAUUACUGACGCUGAGGUGCGAAAGCGUGGGGAGCAAACAGGAUUAGAUACCCCCGUAGUCCCUGUCUCUUAUAC
Molecule: ribosomal RNA, 301 nt
Filed under: uncultured bacterium
Lineage: Bacteria
Description: partial 16S ribosomal RNA
Rfam family: Bacterial small subunit ribosomal RNA
Source: RNAcentral